UGAAGUGGAGCUCAGUGAUAGGGCGCUUGCCUAACAUGCACAAGGCCCUGGGUUCUAUCCCUAGCACCCUUUAA
This 74-nucleotide transfer RNA is filed under the name Marmota monax (woodchuck). RNAcentral's name for it is "tRNA.Val". The record is from RNAcentral. Lineage: Eukaryota; Metazoa; Chordata; Mammalia; Rodentia; Sciuridae.